Long non-coding RNA from Canis lupus familiaris (dog), 920 nucleotides. RefSeq lists it as uncharacterized. The record is from RefSeq and is a predicted model, not a curated record. The transcript is spliced from 3 exons. NCBI's taxonomy places the organism in Eukaryota, Metazoa, Chordata, Mammalia, Carnivora, Canidae.
CUCCUUCUAGGUGACAGCACCAGGAAUAUUUUUGGAAGCAUGUGAUGAGUUGUGCAAUGAAAAGAGAUCCCUUCGUGAUAUGUCUCCAGGACACAUUAUCUGUGAAGACAGGAAGUGGGGCGUCUACUUCCUGCUGAGGCAUCCAAUGGCAACACUCCAGACAACAUCAGAAUCAUUCAGCGGUGUCCCCAGGCCCACAAAUCCCUGUAUGCAAUGGAGAGACACAUACGUGGGGUUGAGGAGCAGAAAGCAAUGAAGUCCUUCUCCACGUGGACCUUGUGAAUGGCAUCACUCUGGAGCAUCAGAGGUUGAUGUGUCCAGCUGUCUGUCGAGGCUUUUGGAGAGUCGCUGACCCACAGUUCCCCAGGAUUUUCUAUGGAGACAUCAAUUUUCUAUACACUGUAUCUCUCAGUAUGACUAGUAGAAUUGCCCCCUUCUUUGUUUUUAAGAAUUUAUUCUCACCAGUUUCACACACACACACACACACACACACACACACACAGCACUCUGCCUUUCUCUGGGGUCCCUACAGCCAUGUGUUGAUUAACAAUGAUAACAUCAUAAAACAAGAAGAAGCCAUUUGCUAGGAAGAGCAUAGAAGUUAAAGGCUUAUUAGCUUCAUCUCAGGGAGCACACUUAAAUUUUUUAGCUAAAUUGUUUUUGUUUCCUUCUCCCCCAAACAUUGCUCCAACAAAGCUCAAGGACAAUUGAAAGUCAGGAUAAAAGAAUUGUUUUUGACUGCCAUCCCAAGUUCCCUCACUUUCCUACUCAUUUCCCAUUCAACAUGCCUGAGAGAAAAGCAUGGUGCUCUUACAUAAUAUGCUCACUUUCAAAGAAAAUUAUUCUCAAGCCAGAGAUUGUCAAAAUGACUGUAAAGCAUGAAUAAGGAAAACCAUCAUUAAAGUCAUUUUGCUCUAAGA